This 437-nucleotide long non-coding RNA is filed under the name Mus musculus (house mouse). Its description in RNAcentral is "predicted gene 28540". Lineage: Eukaryota; Metazoa; Chordata; Mammalia; Rodentia; Muridae. The record is from RNAcentral.
GGCCUUGCUCUUAUGUCAUCUGACUAAAAGUUUCAUAGACCAAAGAUAACCAUCCAACCUGUUGGAAUACUGAAACAAUUGCUGCCUGCUUUCCACACACUACAUAAAAUAUGUGGAUAUCCUAAAUUCUACAAAAAAGAUUUGCAAGCAGAUCAAGCAAUACUGGGACUCCCUCUUCUCCAGAAGAGACAUCCUGGCCUCCAUGCAGAGGAAUGUGUGGAUGGAAAUAUAUUUAAGGAAGACACUAAACCAGAAAAUACUACAUUACACCCUCUUAAAAGACUUCUAAGAUUGUUGUCAUGCCUACCACUGACAUUCAGAUGAUGUGUAUUCUUGAUUGUGAUUUCAUGUUUGGAGCUGAUGAAGGAGUUUGAAGUCUCCAGAGCAGCAAGGAGAGUGGGGAGUAGAACUCAUCAUCUUUAGGUCACUCAUCCCCG